RNAcentral lists this ribosomal RNA (253 nucleotides) under uncultured bacterium. RNAcentral describes it as "partial 16S ribosomal RNA". It matches the Rfam family "Bacterial small subunit ribosomal RNA", at positions 524 to 776 of the family's 1533-position model. The record is from RNAcentral.
UACGUAGGGGGCAAGCGUUGUCCGGAAUUAUUGGGCGUAAAGCGCGUGUAGGCGGUCCGGUAAGUCCGCUGUGAAAGUCGGGGGCUCAACCCUCGAAUGCCGGUGGAUACUGUCGGGCUAGAGUGCGGAAGAGGCGAGUGGAAUUCCUGGUGUAGCGGUGAAAUGCGCAGAUAUCAGGAGGAACACCUAUUGCGAAGGCAGCUCGCUGGGACGUUACUGACGCUGAGACGCGAAAGCGUGGGGAGCAAACAGG